RNAcentral lists this ribosomal RNA (429 nucleotides) under Chloroflexota bacterium. RNAcentral describes it as "Chloroflexi bacterium partial 16S ribosomal RNA". It matches the Rfam family "Bacterial small subunit ribosomal RNA", at positions 355 to 776 of the family's 1533-position model. Lineage: Bacteria; Bacillati; Chloroflexota. The record is from RNAcentral.
UGGGGAAUAUUGCACAAUGGGCGCAAGCCUGAUGCAGCCAUGCCGCGUGUGUGAAGAAGGCCUUCGGGUUGUAAAGCACUUUCAGCGGGGAGGAAGGCGAUAAGGUUAAUAACCUUGACGAUUGACGUUACCCGCAGAAGAAGCACCGGCUAACUCCGUGCCAGCAGCCGCGGUAAUACGGAGGGUGCAAGCGUUAAUCGGAAUUACUGGGCGUAAAGCGCACGCAGGCGGUCUGUCAAGUCGGAUGUGAAAUCCCCGGGCUCAACCUGGGAACUGCAUUCGAAACUGGCAGGCUAGAGUCUUGUAGAGGGGGGUAGAAUUCCAGGUGUAGCGGUGAAAUGCGUAGAGAUCUGGAGGAAUACCGGUGGCGAAGGCGGCACCCUGGACAAAGACUGACGCUCAGGUGCGAAAGCGUGGGGAGCAAACAGG